This 453-nucleotide ribosomal RNA is filed under the name uncultured bacterium. RNAcentral describes it as "partial 16S ribosomal RNA". It matches the Rfam family "Bacterial small subunit ribosomal RNA", at positions 29 to 523 of the family's 1533-position model. The record is from RNAcentral.
AACGAACGCUGGCGGCAGGCUUAACACAUGCAAGUCGAACGCAUCCUUCGGGGUGAGUGGCAGACGGGUGAGUACGCGUGGGAACGUGCCCUUCAGUUCGGGAUAACCCAGGGAAACUUGGGCUAAUACCGGAUACGUGCGAGAGCAGAAAGAUUUAUCGCUGAAGGAUCGGCCCGCGUCUGAUUAGCUAGUUGGUGGGGUAAUGGCCCACCAAGGCGACGAUCAGUAGCUGGUCUGAGAGGAUGAUCAGCCACAUUGGGACUGAGACACGGCCCAAACUCCUACGGGAGGCGGCAGUGGGGAAUAUUGCACAAUGGGCGCAAGCCUGAUGCAGCGACGCCGCGUGAGGGAUGACGGCCUUCGGGUUGUAAACCUCUUUCAGCACCGACGAAGCGCAAGUGACGGUAGGUGCAGAAGAAGGACCGGCCAACUACGUGCCAGCCGCCGCGGUAA